GAUGAAGAACGCAGCGAAAUGCGAUAAGUAAUGUGAAUUGCAGAAUUCAGUGAAUCAUCGAAUCUUUGAACGCACAUUGCGCCCCUUGGUAUUCCGAGGGGCAUGCCUGUUCGAGCGUCAUUAUAACCCCUCAAGCUCAGCUUGGUGUUGGGGCCUGCUGCACUGGCAGCCCUUAAAAUCAGUGGCGGCGCCAUCUGGCUCUAAGCGUAGUAAUUCUUCUCGCUAUGGAGUCCUGGUGGAUGCUUGCCAUCAACCCCCAAUUUUUCUAUGGUUGACCUCGGAUCAGGUAGGACUACCCGCUGAACUUAAGCAUAUCAAUAAGCGGAGGA
Molecule: unclassified non-coding RNA, 329 nt
Filed under: soil metagenome
Description: partial contains 5.8S ribosomal RNA, internal transcribed spacer 2, and large subunit ribosomal RNA
Rfam family: 5.8S ribosomal RNA (bases 1-120)
Source: RNAcentral